CAUGCAAGUCGAACGAAGAGAGAUAGGAAGCUUGCUUCUAUGGAUCUUAGUGGCGAACGGGUGAGUAACGCGUAAUCAACCUGCCCUUCAGAGGGGGACAACAGUUGGAAACGACUGCUAAUACCGCAUACGAUCCAAUCUCGGCAUCGAGAGUGGAUGAAAGGUGGCCUCUAUUUAUAAGCUAUCACUGAAGGAGGGGAUUGCGUCUGAUUAGCUAGUUGGAGGGGUAACGGCCCACCAAGGCGAUGAUCAGUAGCCGGUCUGAGAGGAUGAACGGCCACAUUGGGACUGAGACACGGCCCAGACUCCUACGGGAGGCAGCAGUGGGGAAUCUUCCGCAAUGGACGAAAGUCUGACGGAGCAACGCCGCGUGAGUGAUGACGGCCUUCGGGUUGUAAAGCUCUGUUAAUCGGGACGAAUGGUUCUUGUGCAAAUAGUGCGAGGAUUUGACGGUACCGGAAUAGAAAGCCACGGCUAACUACGUGCCAGCAGCCGCGGUAAUACGUAGGUGGCAAGCGUUGUCCGGAAUUAUUGGGCGUAAAGCGCGCGCAGGCGGAUUGGUCAGUCUGUCUUAAAAGUUCGGGGCUUUAACCCCGUGAUGGGAUGGAAACUGCCAAAUCUAGAGUAUCNGAGAGGAAAGUGGAAUUUCCUAGUGUAGCGGUGAAUGCGUAAAUAUUAGGAAGAACACCCNNUGGCCGAAAGGCCACUUUCUUGGAACAAAAA
Molecule: ribosomal RNA, 723 nt
Filed under: uncultured bacterium
Lineage: Bacteria
Description: bacterial SSU rRNA
Rfam family: Bacterial small subunit ribosomal RNA
Source: RNAcentral